GUCCACGCCGUAAACGAUGAGUGCUAGGUGUGGGGGGUGUCGACUCCCUCCGUGCCGAAGCUAACGCAUUAAGCACUCCGCCUGGGGAGUACGGCCGCAAGGCUAAAACUCAAAGGAAUUGACGGGGGCCCCGCACAAGCAGCGGAGCAUGUGGUUUAAUUCGACGCGACGCGAAGAACCUUACCAAGGCUUGACAUCUACUGGAAAAGCGUGGAAACACGUUCCCUCUUCGGAGCUAGUAGACAGGUGGUGCAUGGCUGUCGU
Molecule: ribosomal RNA, 264 nt
Filed under: uncultured bacterium
Lineage: Bacteria
Description: partial 16S ribosomal RNA
Rfam family: Bacterial small subunit ribosomal RNA
Source: RNAcentral